Molecule: long non-coding RNA, 835 nt
Organism: Dreissena polymorpha
Lineage: Eukaryota; Metazoa; Mollusca; Bivalvia; Myida; Dreissenidae
Exons: 2
Source: RefSeq, a predicted model, not a curated record
AUCGAGUGACGUUCUAGUUUCCAGUGCUUGUACGUCAUAGCGGUAAACAAACUGUGUUACUGUGGCGCGCAAUGUGUCAACAAACAAUCUUUCAAAUGACAAUAACGUAGUGACGUCACCAUCUAUGUAUAGAAUGCUGUGGACCGCUCGCAUUAUUUCAAAAUAAUGAAUUCAUGUAAUAUUCCACCGUCAUAUCAGAUCCAUGUUGUUCGGUUGAAACGUUGUCAGAUGGUGACCGGCGUCGUAUCCUUUCAGAAGAAUGGACCGAUCAAAGCACCUUCAAGUUUCCGUCAAGUUUCGCGGCUCAGACGCUCAUUCCAUCGAGGGUACAGUCUGUCACAGAUAAAGACAUAUAAGCCGUGUACGAAUGCUAUGCAGCGGACCUCCAGUGUGAGCGUCAACAGCUGGACCAAGAGGUCAAUCGAUGGAAGGUCCGAUGGAGUCUAAUAGAUGCAGACAAACAGCCCAAAACCCUGCUUGAUGCACUGAAUGCUUGUGGAAGCGCUUACCCACUUAUUCAGCUGAUACUCACAGAAUUACUCACUAUGCCUGCAACAUCAGCAUCUUGCGAGCGGUCCUUCAGCUCCAUGAAGCGUAUUAAGACGUAUAAAGUACAUUCGCUCUACCAUGGGCGAGGAUCGCCUUACUGCGCUUGCAGUGCUCCGCAUCCACCGGGAAAGUGUAGUGGACAUUGAAAAAGUGAUCAACACUUUUGCCUCUACCAAGAGUCGGAACAUGCAGUUCCUCUAACCAAGCAAAUUGCCAUCUGUUGCCAAAACUGUAUAUAAUAAAAAAAUUGUGUAACAAAUGUAAAAAACGUUUUCACCAAAACGAA